This 440-nucleotide ribosomal RNA is filed under the name uncultured bacterium. RNAcentral describes it as "partial 16S ribosomal RNA". It matches the Rfam family "Bacterial small subunit ribosomal RNA", at positions 338 to 795 of the family's 1533-position model. The record is from RNAcentral.
CCUACGGGAGGCAGCAGUGGGGGAUAUUGCACAAUGGGGGGAACCCUGAUGCAGCGACGCCGCGUGGGUGAAGGAGCGUUUCGGCGCGUAAAGCCCUAUCGGCAGGGAAGAAAAUGACGGUACCUGACCAAGAAGCCCCGGGUAACUACGUGCCAGCAGCCGCGGUAACACGUAGGGGGCAAGCGUUAUCCGGAUUUACUGGGUGAAAAGGGGGCGCAGACGGCAAUGCAAGCCAGGAGGGAAAGCCCGGGGCCCAACCCCAGGACUGCUCUUGGAACUGCAUGGCUGGAGUACAGGAGGGGCAGGCGGAAUUCCUAGUGUAGCGGUGAAAUGCGUAGAUAUUAGGAGGAACACCGGUGGCGAAGGCGGCCUGCUGGACUGUGACUGACGUUGAGGCCCGAAGGCGUGGGUAGCAAACAGGAUUAGAUACCCGUGUAGUC